UACGAAGGGGGCUAGCGUUGCUCGGAAUCACUGGGCGUAAAGGGUGCGUAGGCGGGUCUUUAAGUCAGGGGGGAAAUCCUGGAGCUCAACUCCAGAACUGCCUUUGAUACUGAAGAUCUUGAGUUCGGGAGAGGUGAGUGGAACUGCGAGUGUAGAGGUGAAAUUCGUAGAUAUUCGCAAGAACACCAGUGGCGAAGGCGGCUCACUGGCCCGAUACUGACGCUGAGGCACGAAAGCGUGGGGAGCAAAACGG
RNAcentral lists this ribosomal RNA (253 nucleotides) under uncultured bacterium. RNAcentral describes it as "partial 16S ribosomal RNA". It matches the Rfam family "Bacterial small subunit ribosomal RNA", at positions 524 to 776 of the family's 1533-position model. The record is from RNAcentral.